Molecule: non-coding RNA, 1609 nt
Organism: Podarcis lilfordi (Lilford's wall lizard)
Lineage: Eukaryota; Metazoa; Chordata; Lepidosauria; Squamata; Lacertidae
Source: the annotation of a GenBank genome assembly
CCUGUGUCAUUAAUUCGUUGACUGUUUUCAACUAACCAUAAAGAUAUUGGCACCUUAUACCUAUUAUUUGGUGCCUGAGCUGGGAUAAUCGGCACAGCCCUUAGUCUUUUAAUCCGAACAGAACUGAGUCAACCCGGAACCCUUCUUGGUGAUGACCAGGUCUACAAUGUUAUUGUUACAGCACAUGCUUUUGUUAUAAUUUUCUUCUUGGUAAUACCUGUAAUAAUUGGGGGUUUUGGGAAUUGAUUAAUCCCCUUAAUAAUUGGUGCUCCUGAUAUAGCAUUUCCGCGAAUAAAUAAUAUGAGCUUCUGAUUAUUACCCCCAUCUCUACUCUUACUUCUUUCGUCUUCAGGUAUUGAAGCAGGUGCUGGCACUGGCUGAACUGUCUACCCACCAUUAGCCGGGAAUCUGGCCCAUGCAGGAGCCUCAGUAGAUCUAACCAUUUUUUUCACUUCAUUUAGCUGGAGUUUCUUCUAUUCUAGGUGCAAGUAACUUUAUUACUACCUGCAUCAAUAUAAAACCUCCUAACAUAACACAAUAUCAAACCCCUUUAUUUGUUUGAUCUGUUUUAAUUACAGCAGUACUCCUCCUUCUUUCCCUUCCUGUUUUAGCUGCUGGCAUCACCAUACUAUUAACCGAUCGAAACUUAAAUACAUCCUUUUUUGACCCGGCUGGCGGGGGAGAUCCAAUUCUUUACCAACACUUAUUUUGAUUCUUUGGCCACCCAGAAGUAUAUAUUCUUAUUCUUCCAGGCUUUGGUAUAAUCUCCCACAUUGUCACAUAUUAUGCAGGCAAAAAAGAACCCUUUGGCUAUAUAGGAAUGGUGUGAGCAUUGGCUUCUUAGGUUUUAUUGUAUGAGCCCAUCAUAUAUUUACAGUAGGAAUAGAUGUUGAUACCCGAGCUUAUUUUACCUCAGCUACAAUAAUUAUUGCUAUUCCUACUGGAGUAAAAGUUUUUAGCUGACUUGCAACCCUUCAUGGCGGAACAAAUAAAUGAGAUGCCGCUAUAUUAUGAGCUUUAGGUUUUAUUUUUUUAUUUACAGUAGGGGGUCUUACAGGCAUUAUUCUAGCCAACUCCUCACUAGACAUUGUCCUUCAUGAUACUUACUACGUAGUUGCUCAUUUCCACUAUGUCUUAUCGAUAGGCGCUGUAUUUGCAAUUAUAGGUGGAUUUGUCCAUUGAUUUCCCCUCUUCACAGGCUAUACCCUACACUCUUCAUGAACAAAAAUUCAGUUUGGCGUAAUAUUUACCGGAGUUAACAUAACAUUUUUUCCAGAACAUUUCCUUGGACUAGCAGGUAUGCCCCGACGUUAUUCUGAUUAUCCAGACGCAUAUACCCUUUGAAAUACUAUUUCAUCAAUUGGCUCCCUAAUUUCCCUCACAGCCGUAAUUAUAAUAAUAUUUAUUAUUUGAGAAGCUCUAGCGGCCAAACGUGAAGUCUUUACUCUAGAAUUAAUAAAUACAAACUUAGAAUGACUUCACGGCUGUCCUCCUCCAUACCACACAUACGAAGAAUCAACUUACGUACAAACCUCAAGGGAGGGGGGACUUGAACCACCUCUAACCAGUUUCAAGCCAGUCACACAUCCUCUUAUGUUUCUCCCCUUAU